AAUCCAUAGGUUAAUGAGGCGAACCGGGGGAACUGAAACAUCUAAGUACCCCGAGGAAAAGAAAUCAACCGAGAUUCCCCCAGUAGCGGCGAGCGAACGGGGAGGAGCCCAGAGCCUGAAUCAGCAUGUGUGUUAGUGGAAGCGUCUGGAAAGGCGCGCGAUACAGGGUGACAGCCCCGUACACAAAAGCGCAUGUGCUGUGAGCUCGAUGAGUAGGGCGGGACACGUGGUAUCCUGUCUGAAUAUGGGGGGACCAUCCUCCAAGGCUAAAUACUCCUGACUGACCGAUAGUGAACCAGUACCGUGAGGGAAAGGCGAAAAGAACCCCGGCGAGGGGAGUGAAAAAGAACCUGAAACCGUGUACGUACAAGCAGUGGGAGCACCCUUCGGGGUGUGACUGCGUACCUUUUGUAUAAUGGGUCAGCGACUUAUAUUCUGUAGCAAGGUUAACCGUAUAGGGGAGCCGGAGGGAAACCGAGUCUUAAUUGGGCGUUAAGUUGCAGGGUAUAGACCCGAAACCCGGUGAUCUAGCCAUGGGCAGGUUGAAGGUUGGGUAACACUAACUGGAGGACCGAACCGACUAAUGUUGAAAAAUUAGCGGAUGACCUGUGGCUGGGGGUGAAAGGCCAAUCAAACCGGGAGAUAGCUGGUUCUCCCCGAAAGCUAUUUAGGUAGCGCCUCGUGAAUUCAUCUCCGGGGGUAGAGCACUGUUUCGGCUAGGGGGCCAUCCCGGCUUACCAACCCGAUGCAAACUGCGAAUACCGGAGAAUGUUAUCACGGGAGACACACGGCGGGUGCUAACGUCCGUCGUGAAGAGGGAAACAACCCAGACCGCCAGCUAAGGUCCCAAAGUCAUGGUUAAGUGGGAAACGAUGUGGGAAGGCCCAGACAGCCAGGAUGUUGGCUUAGAAGCAGCCAUCAUUUAAAGAAAGCGUAAUAGCUCACUGGUCGAGUCGGCCUGCGCGGAAGAUGUAACGGGGCUAAACCAUGCACCGAAGCUGCGGCAGCGAACGUAUCACCCAAGACAACUUUACGGAGUUGACGAUUGACGGAGCGAAGCGACGUCAAAGCGUUCAUUAAAGUCGAGUUGGCUUAGGGAUACGUUCGUUGGGUAGGGGAGCGUUCUGUAAGCCUGUGAAGGUGUGUCGUGAGGCAUGCUGGAGGUAUCAGAAGUGCGAAUGCUGACAUAAGUAACGAUAAAGCGGGUGAAAAGCCCGCUCGCCGGAAGACCAAGGGUUCCUGUCCAACGUUAAUCGGGGCAGGGUGAGUCGACCCCUAAGGCGAGGCCGAAAGGCGUAGUCGAUGGGAAACGGGUUAAUAUUCCCGUACUUGGUGUUACUGCGAAGGGGGGACGGAGAAGGCUAUGUUGGCCGGGCGACGGUUGUCCCGGUUUAAGCGUGUAGGUGUGUGUUCCAGGUAAAUCCGGUUCACUUUAACACUGAGGCGUGACGACGAGGCACUACGGUGCUGAAGCAACAAAUGCCCUGCUUCCAGGAAAAGCCUCUAAGCAUCAGGUAACACGAAAUCGUACCCCAAACCGACACAGGUGGUCAGGUAGAGAAUACCAAGGCGCUUGAGAGAACUCGGGUGAAGGAACUAGGCAAAAUGGUGCCGUAACUUCGGGAGAAGGCACGCUGACACGUAGGUGAAGUGAUUUACUCAUGGAGCUGAAGUCAGUCGAAGAUACCAGCUGGCUGCAACUGUUUAUUAAAAACACAGCACUGUGCAAACACGAAAGUGGACGUAUACGGUGUGACGCCUGCCCGGUGCCGGAAGGUUAAUUGAUGGGGUCAGCGUAAGCGAAGCUCCUGAUCGAAGCCCCGGUAAACGGCGGCCGUAACUAUAACGGUCCUAAGGUAGCGAAAUUCCUUGUCGGGUAAGUUCCGACCUGCACGAAUGGCGUAAUGAUGGCCAGGCUGUCUCCACCCGAGACUCAGUGAAAUUGAACUCGCUGUGAAGAUGCAGUGUACCCGCGGCAAGACGGAAAGACCCCGUGAACCUUUACUAUAGCUUGACACUGAACAUUGAGCCUUGAUGUGUAGGAUAGGUGGGAGGCUUUGAAGUGUGGACGCCAGUCUGCAUGGAGCCGACCUUGAAAUACCACCCUUUAAUGUUUGAUGUUCUAACGUGGACCCGUAAUCCGGGUUGCGGACAGUGUCUGGUGGGUAGUUUGACUGGGGCGGUCUCCUCCUAAAGAGUAACGGAGGAGCACGAAGGUUGGCUAAUCCUGGUCGGACAUCAGGAGGUUAGUGCAAUGGCAUAAGCCAGCUUGACUGCGAGCGUGACGGCGCGAGCAGGUGCGAAAGCAGGUCAUAGUGAUCCGGUGGUUCUGAAUGGAAGGGCCAUCGCUCAACGGAUAAAAGGUACUCCGGGGAUAACAGGCUGAUACCGCCCAAGAGUUCAUAUCGACGGCGGUGUUUGGCACCUCGAUGUCGGCUCAUCACAUCCUGGGGCUGAAGUAGGUCCCAAGGGUAUGGCUGUUCGCCAUUUAAAGUGGUACGCGAGCUGGGUUUAGAACGUCGUGAGACAGUUCGGUCCCUAUCUGCCGUGGGCGCUGGAGAACUGAGGGGGGCUGCUCCUAGUACGAGAGGACCGGAGUGGACGCAUCACUGGUGUUCGGGUUGUCAUGCCAAUGGCACUGCCCGGUAGCUAAAUGCGGAAGAGAUAAGUGCUGAAAGCAUCUAAGCACGAAACUUGCCCCGA
Molecule: ribosomal RNA, 2703 nt
Filed under: Salmonella enterica subsp. enterica serovar Typhimurium
Lineage: Bacteria; Pseudomonadati; Pseudomonadota; Gammaproteobacteria; Enterobacterales; Enterobacteriaceae
Description: partial 23S ribosomal RNA
Rfam family: Bacterial large subunit ribosomal RNA
Source: RNAcentral